RNAcentral lists this small nucleolar RNA (206 nucleotides) under Paramormyrops kingsleyae. RNAcentral's name for it is "Small nucleolar RNA SNORA74 (ENSPKIG00000020613.1)". It matches the Rfam family "Small nucleolar RNA SNORA74". Rfam says of the family: U19 belongs to the H/ACA class of snoRNAs. snoRNAs bind a number of proteins (including dyskerin, Gar1p and Nop10p in the case of the H/ACA class) to form snoRNP complexes. This class are thought to guide the sites of modification of uridines to pseudouridines by forming direct base pairing interactions with substrate RNAs. Lineage: Eukaryota; Metazoa; Chordata; Actinopteri; Osteoglossiformes; Mormyridae. The record is from RNAcentral.
CCCAGCAGCAGUCAGCUGUGCAGGUCUGUGCCAUGCCUGCCUCAGUGUUACUCUGCUGGUAGAGGAAGGUGUCGCCACUAGGCCUGGCCUCUAGGAGGCGCUGUUCUAGUGUCUCCUGACGGCCAGCCAUGGUGGAACCAUGCCCCCCUGAGAGUGGGCAGUCCCCCCCACACAUGUGGGAUGGCCCUAGUCUGGGGGCUCACAGC